Long non-coding RNA from Thalassophryne amazonica, 1389 nucleotides. RefSeq lists it as uncharacterized. The record is from RefSeq and is a predicted model, not a curated record. The transcript has 4 exons. NCBI's taxonomy places the organism in Eukaryota, Metazoa, Chordata, Actinopteri, Batrachoidiformes, Batrachoididae.
AAUUGUUUAUAUCUGGCUGACACAUCACGGUGCUUUUAAAAGGUUUAGAGCAGAGAUAUUUUGAAGAUCUAUAGUGCACAGUUUAAAUAAAGUGCAUAGCGCAAGUGCAUUUGGGGUGUGCACUGAUGUACUGUGUGUGGCAAAUAGGGCUUAAUGACUGGAUUCAUCAUAAUUGAAAAAGACUUCUCAACUGCUUUGAUAAACAAGUAGCCUGUUAAACAUUUUAUCAAGUGGGUGGGGGUGGGGGGGGGGGGACUACAAAUAUUGAUGAAUUACAGCUUUUUAAAAGGACAUGUGACACAGAAUUCAUAACUCUCAGAUUUUGGCUAAUAGAGGUCAUGUAAUGAAAGACCUGUAGUAAUUUGUGCACUUUUGUCAACAGCCUCUAAGCUUACGGCAAUCAAAACAAGCAGCUAUGGAGACUGGCAAAAACAAAGUCCUCAUAUUUCCUACAGUGUGUACAUCACUGAGCAAACUUUCUCACACACACGGUUUAAUAGGAUGCAGACAAACUGCUGCUCAUGUAAGAAUGGAGGUGCAGAUUAAGUGUGAUGUCGUGUCAUAAUGACUCAUCUUUAAAGUGAUAAUUGUGUUCAUUUUCACGCAGUCGCGGUAACAGGAGCAGCUGCCCUUCAUUGUGAGGAGAGAGGCUGCAUGUGCAUGUCAAUCAGUCAUGAACCCAGCCUGAUAAAAUCACCAUCUCCAUUAGACACAGCUUCCUGCAUGUUCAUAAGUGUCAGUCGUAAAUGCAGUAACGGUAAAAAGUCUGAAUUUUAGAAAUACAGCUGUGUGUUCAGCCUGUAAAAACAGCAUCGUGAUGGCGCUUCAGAUGCACACAUCCACACAGCAUCCUGGAGAGUUCCACGUGUAUAUUCACGGCACCAGCUGUAACCACAUCAAAACAACACCCUGCUCCAGUACAGAGAGCAGACACCUCACACAUCUGGAUCCAAAAUCCGACAGACUCUCUUAAAAAAAUUCAAAGAGUCAAAGGUGAAGUGUCCGUCACCUUGUCUCCGUAUGGAGUGUACUGAAUGAACUCAGUGGUGCGUGCACGUCCGGAAGCAGGUACAAAGUGCUGAAGCUCCUGAAAAUAACGUAUGCCUGACUUGUCCCAAGUGUCUACCUGCAGGUCCACUGAUCUGGAUGAUUGCUGAACCAUCGCCUUCAUAUGAAUGGCCAGUAGUUUCACGAUCUGAUGUAACUUCAGUUUCACUCUGUCAGUUUACCGUUGUGUUGUUUCUGUCUUUGCUCAGAUUGACAUCACCCACUGAGAACUGCCAAGAAAUGCUGAGUAAAAUGUUUUUCAGAAAUGCACCUGCUGACUCGAUGAGCGAGAGGCUUAAUUACCAAUAAAGCACGUCAGCGACCACUGAUCCUGACGUGCAC